Non-coding RNA from Nyctereutes procyonoides (raccoon dog), 387 nucleotides. The record is from the annotation of a RefSeq genome assembly. Lineage: Eukaryota; Metazoa; Chordata; Mammalia; Carnivora; Canidae.
AUGGCCUGGUCCCCUCUCCUCCUCACCCUCCUCGCUCGCUUCACAGGGUCCUGGGCCCAAUCUGUGCUGACUCAGCCUCCCUCAGUGUCUGGGACCCUGGGCCAGAGGGUCACCAUCUCCUGCACUGGAAGCAGCUCCAACAUUGGUGCUAAUUCUGUGAGCUGGCACCAACAGUUGCCGGGAAUAGCCCCUAAAACCAUCAUCUAUUGGAAUAAUGACAGACUCUCUGGGGUCCCUGAUCGAUUCUCUGGCUCCAAGUCUGGCAACUCAGCCACCUUGACCAUCUCUGAGCUCCAGGCUGAGGACGAGGCUGAUUAUUACUGCUCAUCCUGGGAUGACAGUCUCAGUGGAUUUAUUAAUGGGAAAGGAACAAAGAAGGCCAUCUAG